Molecule: ribosomal RNA, 363 nt
Filed under: uncultured microorganism
Description: bacterial SSU rRNA
Rfam family: Bacterial small subunit ribosomal RNA
Source: RNAcentral
GAGUUUGAUCAUGGCUCAGAGCGAACGCUGGCGGCGUGCCUAACACAUGCAAGUCGAACGCGAACGAUCUCUUCGGAGAUUUAUUAGAGUGGCAAACGGGUGAGUAACGCGUGGAUAAUCUACCUUCGAGUGGGGGAAUAACUCCGGGAAACCGGGGCUAAUACCGCAUGACACUCCGAUAUCUUAAGAUAACGGGGUCAAAGGGGCUUCGGCUCUCGCUUGAAGAUGAGUCCGCGUCCUAUCAGCUUGUUGGUGAGGUAAUGGCUCACCAAGGCUUCGACGGGUAGCCGGCCUGAGAGGGUGGUCGGCCACACUGGGACUGAGACACGGCCCACGACUCCUACGGGAGGCAGCAGUGGGGAA